ACAAUUGUUGGUCUUCCUUAGAUGUUUUAUCAACCAUAAAAAGCGAAUAUUAAUGCAAACAAAGGCAAAAAGAAAUAUCAAGCUUUCAGCCAAAUAAACUAAAAUCAAAUCACUAAAAUUUUAAAAUCUGAAAAGAAGAUAAUACAGUAGUAAGACAAAUUAGAAGAUGUAACAACUGUUAUGCAAAACCAUUGAAAGUUGAAAAUUGUAACAGAAUGCUAACAACUAUCG
RNAcentral lists this unclassified non-coding RNA (231 nucleotides) under Hevea brasiliensis (rubber tree). The record is from RNAcentral. Lineage: Eukaryota; Viridiplantae; Streptophyta; Magnoliopsida; Malpighiales; Euphorbiaceae.